Molecule: long non-coding RNA, 318 nt
Organism: Papaver somniferum (opium poppy)
Lineage: Eukaryota; Viridiplantae; Streptophyta; Magnoliopsida; Ranunculales; Papaveraceae
Exons: 3
Source: RefSeq, a predicted model, not a curated record
ACUGAAAAGUAUAACAAAGAAAACAAACCGGAGCAUGCAUCAACUAUCUUGGAGGAUGCAAAAUUUAGAGUGGAAGACAAAGGUUUGGGCUAUUCACACGGUACACUAUCAUGGUCACUAAUCUACCGUUGUUGCUCGAGUUGAUAUAGUUGUGGUGUGAAUUAUUGAUCUGUGAAUGUAUCGUGCGCUGAUUUCAGCAGCCCUGGAAGUGUAAUUAGGACCCAAAUGUAUUUGGCAGUUACUGCAGUUGUAUAAAGUUAUCUGCAUCUGGAAUAAUGAAAUGUUGUAGUAUGAGAUUUUUUAUAAAUUUAAGAUAUG